This 483-nucleotide ribosomal RNA is filed under the name uncultured bacterium. RNAcentral's name for it is "bacterial SSU rRNA". It matches the Rfam family "Bacterial small subunit ribosomal RNA", at positions 29 to 486 of the family's 1533-position model. The record is from RNAcentral.
AACGAACGCUGGCGGCGUGCCUAACACAUGCAAGUCGUGCGAGAAAGUUCCUUCGGGAGCGAGUAAAGCGGCGCACGGGUGAGUAACACGUAGGUAACCUGCCCCCCAGUCUGGAACAACUAGAGGAAACUCUAGCUAAUGCCGGAUGAGACCACGAUCCCUUCGGGGGUUGCGGCCAAAGAUGGCCUCUACUUGUAAGCUAUCGCUGAGGGAUGGGCCUGCGGGCCAUUAGCUUGUUGGUGAGGUAACGGCUCACCAAGGCUGUGAUGGCUAGCUGGUCUGAGAGGAUGACCAGCCACACUGGGACUGAGACACGGCCCAGACUCCUACGGGAGGCAGCAGUGGGGAAUAUUGGACAAUGGGGGGCAACCCUGAUCCAGCGAUGCCGCGUGUGUGAAGAAGGCCUGAGGGUUGUAAAGCACUUUAGUUGGGGAGGAAGAAUCCAGUGAUGAAUAAGCUAUGGAAAUGACGUUACCCAAAGAA